This 580-nucleotide long non-coding RNA is filed under the name Phoenix dactylifera (date palm). Its description in RNAcentral is "long non-coding RNA (PDAC_LNC019974)". Lineage: Eukaryota; Viridiplantae; Streptophyta; Magnoliopsida; Arecales; Arecaceae. The record is from RNAcentral.
AUAACUUGUUCUUAAAGGAUUAGGAAGAGUGAUUACUAUAAAUUUUGAAUAAUUCUAGAUCACUCUCGAUAUCAAAAGAAAAGAAUGAUUAAAGAGGAAUGCAUCUUUUGAGGGGGAGCUUUAGAUAUUCAGUAUCUUAUCCUAAAGAUACUUUAAUUUGAUGCAUACUUUGAAUUUUAUGGAUUGAUUUUGAUGAACCUCCUUAUAUUGCAAGACAUGCUUUAAUUUCCUUGAGAUGAGUUCUAUAAAGGUUGUCUUAUCUCAAACCUUGAGUCUUAUGAAAAUAAGCUGAAAUAUAUUUUUGAGAUUGACAAUCUUAUUGAACAUUAUCUUAGGAUUCUAAACUCUUAAAUGGAAUGAUCAAUUGAGGGGGAGAAAGAAAAUUUCAGAAGGAGAGGUCUUAUGGAACUUAAUCGCAUAAAUCUAUAACUAAAGGAGAGAGAAAGAACACUAAAUGAAAAGUGAUUCUAAUACUCUCCAAUAUGUAUCAUCUGAAAUUUAAAUCUGAAAAUCUUUAUGAUACACCUUGAGGCGUGUUAUUUGGUUAGUAUAUCUUAUGCAUCACUCAUGAACCAAAUUA